AAUUUUCAUCUUGAUAUUUCACAUGGAGAAACUGAGGCAUGGAGAGGCUGAGAGAAUUUGGUCAGAGUUCUGUAGUAAUCUGUCACCAAACGAGGAGGGUAUAAAAUCAGAUCUGGCUGGUCUCACAGUGUGGAGGGAAAGUCUGGACCCUCUACUGUCCGGGAAAUCUGCUUUUCCUUCUCAGCCACUUGGAGCAGGCUUUCAUCCACCAGCUAUUUAUUAUGUACUGAAAAACAGACAUCAUGGCUGUGAAACACCCUUCGGGUGCUGGAAAUGAACCCCAGUCCUCAGAAAGAUCAGCGAGUGCUGUUAGCCACUGAGACGUCUC
This is a long non-coding RNA of Mus caroli (Ryukyu mouse), 328 nucleotides long. RefSeq lists it as uncharacterized. NCBI's taxonomy places the organism in Eukaryota, Metazoa, Chordata, Mammalia, Rodentia, Muridae. The record is from RefSeq and is a predicted model, not a curated record.